Long non-coding RNA from Fundulus heteroclitus (mummichog), 985 nucleotides. RefSeq lists it as uncharacterized. The transcript is spliced from 2 exons. NCBI's taxonomy places the organism in Eukaryota, Metazoa, Chordata, Actinopteri, Cyprinodontiformes, Fundulidae. The record is from RefSeq and is a predicted model, not a curated record.
CUUCUAGGACGCUUGAUUUUAUUAAUGCGAUUAUACUUCCGGGAGGCUAGGGUUCGCUGAAGCGAUCGGUCGCUAAAAUCAACUAAUCUAAAGUCAUACAAAACGCCUUUAAAUCGACAUAAAUACUUCAUAUUAAUGUGGUAACAACGCUGAUAGCACCAUUGAACGAUGGUGGAGCAAAACGAAACAAACCUUAUGCUUGAAACAAACCGUAGUCGCGUCGGAGAAAACGGAAGUUAAUAGCAUUUAGGCUAGCGGACAAUCGGCGCUAACUUUAGCUUCAGCUUUAUUUAAGUUGCAAUGAGUGGACCGGAUAACACAAACAUCAGGAGCAGGCCCCCGGUAGUGGUCGAGUCCCCGGCAUGCAGCAGCCGAUUUCAGUCCAGAUUUUGCUCUCAGCUUGGGAACAUUGACCCUCUGCUGGCUGCUCCGGCUAUGGCUAGAGUCCGUUUCCUGCAACAGAUGAGGAAGCAAAACAAAGCUGGUUCGGCAUAGGAGGAUUCUUUCACUUCGCCAUCUGGUUAAGUAGAAGUGAGACUGUAGACUUAGCUUGGAUUAGUUAGUUCUCCGAGCCCGGUCAGGUCCUGUAGACGAAGAGCAUUUCCCCCUCUUGUUGCUUCAUUGAAGCGACAGCAAAUGAGUUUCACAGAAAGCACAUUUACUCAGCUUGGGAGCCAUUUUGAGGCCCAUGAGGGUGCAUGUGUCACAUCAGCUGCUGUGACCCUCACACCUGCAGGUCAUCCUCUGACCAGCAGUGGGUCCUAUAUAAGGGCGGAGCCUCCACCUGUUCGGCGUCAGAUUGUUGUCUAACCCCUAGUGUCUCGUCCGAUUUCCUGAACCCUCGCCCGCUGCCUUGGACUCCCUGGUGACGACCUCCUGCCUGCCCGACGACUGACUCCUGGAUAGCCCCAAACCCUGACUGACGCCACGGAUCUGACCCUUGCCUGCCUGACCAAGAAUUGCCAAUAAAUACCAUCUAACCGUG